Molecule: long non-coding RNA, 1146 nt
Filed under: Manacus vitellinus (golden-collared manakin)
Lineage: Eukaryota; Metazoa; Chordata; Aves; Passeriformes; Pipridae
Description: lncRNA (ENSMVIG00005014479.1)
Source: RNAcentral
GCAGAAAUGAUAGGGCAAAGAAUUAUGAAUUAAAAAAAUUCGGAGAAAGUUGCAUGCUCCUUAUAGUCAGUUCUAGAAUACAAGUGAAUUUAUAACAGAGAAAAAACAAUUGCUCUUAUUAUGGCUUUUUUUUAGAAUUAUAUUAUCACUUUACAAGACAUAAGACUUAAUCCCCGCCCUUAGUGUUCCUCAGAUCUAAGACUGUUUUCUGUGUAUACAUGGAUUAAAUGCUCCAAAACUGGAUCUGUUACCUGCAGACCCCACAUCACAACAGUACAGGCAAGUGCAAACCAGACAGAAGAAAACAAUAAUAACCACAAGAAAAAUCCCAAAGAAAUAACAUUGUUAUUGUAGAUGUUAUUAACCAUAGUUAUUAAAAAUUACACAUUUGGGCAACUAUAAUUCAGUGAUGGGAACAGUAAUAUGCAUGUCUGUCAUUCACAGCAAUGGCAUGGAUCAGAUGUAGGAGAUUUUAAGAAUCUAAUUCAGCACAGAAAGGAAAAGAUGUCAUCAAAUGGCCCCAACCAGGAAGCUUAAUCAGAAACAAAUCUGUAAAGGAACCUCAAAACUUGGAGAGUACUUUCUUCAUGGAUUUCCACAGAAAAAAAGGCACCAGGUCAGCACAGGCUUGCUCAGGCCAUUAUGCAGAUCUUGAAAAUUAGCUGCUCAAAACUGCAGACACACCCUGACCUUCUGUUUUGCUGGCUAGAGAUCAGGACAACCUUCACAGCUAUAUAAUAUAAUACUGUUGAACUUUUGUCUACAGCCCUUUAUUUGUAACCAUUGUGACACACGAGAUAAAAAAAAAAGUUCUUCUUGAACUGCCUAUGUUAUAUAAAUAUUUUUCUCUAUACUAACUUCUGCUAUAUUUCCUGGACAAAACCUGAACACACAGGGGAUGGCAAUUUAGUGACAUUCAUGUGUAGCCCUUUUGGGAAAAGCAUUGUAUAUUAUUUCUGAUCUGGACUGGCAAAUACAAUGACAUCACAUUUAAAAAUGGCUAUGAUCCACCCACUGAGAAUGCCAAAGAAAAGCUGGCUGAUUUUUUUUUUUUUAAAGGAAGCUAGCACAAAGAUUACAAGGUGAAACAGAUGUCUGAGGGUUGUUGUCUACACAGAGAAAAACCCAGUUUCAAAAAGAAAUAUG